UACGUAGGGGGCUAGCGUUAUCCGGAAUUACUGGGCGUAAAGGGUGCGUAGGCGGUCUUUCAAGCCAGAAGUGAAAGGCUACGGCUCAACCGUAGUAAGCUUUUGGAACUGUAAGACUCGAGUGCAGGAGAGGAGAGUGGUAUUCCUAGUGUAGCGGUGAAAUGCGUAGAUAUUAGGAGGAACACCAGUUGCGAAGGCGGCUCUCUGGACUGUAACUAACGCUGAGGCACGAAAGCGUGGGGAGCAAACAGGAUUAGAUACCCUGGUAGUCCCUGA
RNAcentral lists this ribosomal RNA (276 nucleotides) under uncultured prokaryote. RNAcentral's name for it is "partial 16S ribosomal RNA". It matches the Rfam family "Bacterial small subunit ribosomal RNA", at positions 524 to 800 of the family's 1533-position model. The record is from RNAcentral.